Non-coding RNA from Pelobates cultripes (western spadefoot toad), 1177 nucleotides. NCBI's taxonomy places the organism in Eukaryota, Metazoa, Chordata, Amphibia, Anura, Pelobatidae. The record is from the annotation of a GenBank genome assembly.
CUCGGUGUUGCUUCCUAAGUGGACAGUUUAAUUUCACAGAAGUGUGAUUAAGUGUUCCCUUUAUUUUUCCCAUGAAUAAAUACACACACAUACAGCUCAAAAAAAAUAAAGUACAUCCUCUUUGAAUUAUAUGGUUUUGCAUAUCAGGACAUAAUAACAAUCAUCUGUUCCAUAGCAGGUCUUAAAAUUACAACCACACAUGGUCAACAUCACAUAUUACACUGUGUUAUGAUUUUUAACAAAAAUAAAGCCAAAAUGGAGAAGCCACGUGUGGGAAAAACUAAAAGUACACCCUUACUGCUUCCAUAGGAAUUGAGUCUAAAUAGCAAUCGGGUAAUGCAAAUUAAAUGUCAUUGAUUAAUUGAUCAUCAGCAAGUGUAACCAGCUCUGUAAAAGCUGAAGGUUUAGCAAGAUUAUUGAAAAGUGGAAAACUUUCAAGACCAUUGCCAAUCUUCCCAAAAGUGGACGUCCCAGCAAAGUCACCCCAGGGCCAGACCAUGCAAUGCUCAAAGAAAUUCCAAAAAAAACAAACCCAAGAGUUCCAUCUCUUACUCUGCAGGCCUCAGUUAGCAUGUUAAAUGUUAACGUUCAUGACAGUAUAAUUAGAAAAAGACUGAGCAAGUAUGGUUUUUCUGGAAGGAUUGCCAGGAGAAAGGCUUUUCUUUCUAAAAAUAACAUGGCAGCAUGGCUUAGGUUUGCAAAGUUACAUCUGGACAAACCACAAGACUUCUGAAGUGGAGAUGUUUGGCCAUAAUGGACAAAACCAAAUGCAUAUCAGCACAAACACAUCAUUCCAACUGUCAAGCACAGUGGGGCUUGAUUUUCAGCCACGUGACCUAGGAACCUUGCAGUCAUUGAGUCAACCAUGAACUCCUGUGUACAAAAGUAUAGUUUUUCUUAAAUUAUUACUUACUGUUACCAUUGACAUACCUAUCACCAGGGUUCCUGAAUGGUAUGUGCCUGUAACUGUGUCUGGGACUGGUAGUGGUGAUUGGGCCCUUUUUCUAGAGUAAUGUAGGCAGUUAGUACACUGAACACAUAGGGAAAGUGACUGAUAACAAAUGGUUUCUAAUAUUAUUUAUAACUAGUACUGAAUAAUGUACUAUUAUUGUUGUGUGCAAGGGAACUGCCAUCAUAACCUACCACAGAGUACUGUAGUGAUUAUGGUGUCACUGAG